GCUGGGCAUGGUGCUGCACACCUGUAACCCGAGCAACUUGGGAGACUGAGGCAGGAGGAUCACAAAUCCAAGGCCAGCCUUGACAAUUUAGUAAGACCCUGUCUCAA
RNAcentral lists this small RNA (107 nucleotides) under Marmota monax (woodchuck). The record is from RNAcentral. Lineage: Eukaryota; Metazoa; Chordata; Mammalia; Rodentia; Sciuridae.